Apis florea (little honeybee) is the source of this 130-nucleotide long non-coding RNA. Lineage: Eukaryota; Metazoa; Arthropoda; Insecta; Hymenoptera; Apidae. The record is from RefSeq and is a predicted model, not a curated record.
AUAGGCGCACGUCGAAUCGUCUCGCUUCUUAAUGGGCGUACCGCGGUUGGAUCCCGGUUGCAUUUAGCCGGCUCGUUUCGCGAGAGGAGGAAACAGGAUCCGAGAGGAAGAGAGAGAGAGAGAGAGAAAG